CUCUGACCAGGGAUUGAACCCAGCUCCUCUGCAUUGAGAGUGUGGAGUCUUAGCCACUGGGCCAUCAGGGAAGUCCCAACAUAUUAUUAUUUGGCUUCCUAGCACCUCCACCACGCCUGCAUCUCCCACCAUGGUCCAGAAAACAUCUAUGAAGAUAGAGACUGGUGACCUCUGCUGACGUUUUACUGUUUAAAGUUAUCAGUGCCAUGCCUUCAAAUCUAGAGGAAAUGCCAGUGGUCCUCUUUCCAAAGAAAGGGAGUCCACUAUAGCCACUAACUGUCUUUCACCAUUCUGGUAUAUGUUUCUGAGUUUUAUGUUCACUUGUUCAUUCCUAUCUCCACUUGGAGGCUAAAAUAGGUAAGACUAUUUUAAUAGUCUAUCUUUUCCUUAUUUAUUUGAUGUAGCUCUGUGUAAACUAGGC
Molecule: long non-coding RNA, 421 nt
Filed under: Capra hircus (goat)
Lineage: Eukaryota; Metazoa; Chordata; Mammalia; Artiodactyla; Bovidae
Description: lncRNA (ENSCHIG00000007530.1)
Source: RNAcentral